This is a long non-coding RNA of Manis pentadactyla (Chinese pangolin), 1076 nucleotides long. RefSeq lists it as uncharacterized. The record is from RefSeq and is a predicted model, not a curated record. Lineage: Eukaryota; Metazoa; Chordata; Mammalia; Pholidota; Manidae. The transcript is spliced from 3 exons.
GACGUCACCAUGACUCCACGUGGCUGCAAAGCCCCCAGUGUGAAGGCCCCUCCCAGCCAGCUCAGUACUGACGCAAAUGAAAAGCUUCCAGCUCUCCGAGCAGCUGCCACCCGCUCUGGCGGUGGCCCUGUGGCCACAGCGGGGAGGGCAGGCAGCCUCCAGCUCCAGCGUGGGACCUGGCAUUUUAGAUAAUCAGAUGCUCUUUAAAGGGUGGCUAGUGUGGUGCGCGGGGCUCCUUGGAGGUCAAGGAGAGCCAGCUACUGUCGCAGCUCCUGGUGAGGUUGGCUGCCCUCGGAGCCUCAGGCUCUGCCUGCCAAGCCACCUCGCCCCGUCUCCCCACCCAGCAGGUGCCUGGGGUCCUUCGGCUUCGGUUGUGGCUCUUCGCCCAGAGUGGCAUUAGAAGCAGGGGAGGAGCCUGGACUGCAGCUGCCCGGAACCGCCACUGCGCAGCCUCCCUCAGCCUCCGCAGGGCUGGCGGAGUCUCACCUUUCAGCAGAUCCUCACUAGAGCAGCUCACAGACACGUGACACACAUCGGGGACUCCUGGGAAGAAUGUGGGGUGCCAGACGUGGUGACCAUGAGACCGGGGUGCUUGUCCAGACGUCUCUGGGUGAAGGCCAUCACGGGAAUGGGACUGCCCUGAAAAGGCAGGCCUGACCCUGCAGAUGGAGAAUGGAGUCCCCAGAACUCUGGAAACUUAUGACUGACAAACAGGAGGAGCAAGACAAGGGCCUCUGGCAGCCUGAGACUGGGCGUUCUCCAGGCACACCUCUCUGGCUGCACCUUGCAGGUACUGCAUUUUUCACAGGAAGAUGUGCAGCAGCCCUGCCUGGAGCUCGUCUCUAGGAGCCAUUUUUCCAACAGCAUUUGCUUACUUGGCUUCUCUGCCACAUUUUGAUAAUUGCAAAAUUUUAAAUGUAUGCAUUGUGUUUGUCAUGGUGAUCUGUGAUCAGUGGUUACAACUCACUGGAAGUUCAGAUGACGAUAGCAUUUUUUACCAAUAAAGUGGCUUUUAAUGAAAACAUGCAUGCUGUUUUUCUAGACAUGAUGCUAUUUGCACAUUCAACACACUGCAG